AGUGAACGCUGGCGGUAGGCUAACACAUGCAAGUCGAACGGCAGCACAGGAGAGCUUGCUCUCUGGAUGGCGAGUGGCGGACGGGUGAGGAAUACAUCGGAAUCUACUUGUUCGAGGGGGAUAACGUACGGAAACUUACGCUAAUACCGCAUACGAGCUACGGGUGAAAGCACGGGAUCUUCGGACCUUGCGCGAUAGAAUGAGCCGAUUUCGGAUUAGCUAGUUGGCGGGGUACAGGCCCACCAAGGCGACUAUCCGUACCUAGUCUGAGAGGAUGAUCAGCCACACUGGAACUGAGACACGGUCCAUACUCCUACGGGAGGCAGCAGUGGGGAAUAUUGGACAAUGGGCGCAAGCCUGAUCCAGCCAUACCGCGUGGGUGAAGAAGGCCUUCGGGUUGUAAAGCCCUUUUGUUGGGGAAGAAAUCUAGCAGACUAAUACUCGGUUGGGAUGACGGUACCCAAAGAAUAAGCACCGGCUAACUUUGUGCCAGCAGCCGCGGUAAUACGAAGGGUGCAAGCGUUACUCGGAAUUACUGGGCGUAAAGCGUGCGUAGGUGGUCUUUUAAGUCGGAUGUGAAAUCCCUGGGCUCAACAUGGGAACUGCAGUGGAUACUGGCCGACCAGAGUGUGGUAGAGGGUAGCGGAAUUCCUGGUGUAGCAGUGAAAUGCGUAGAGAUCAGGAGGAACAUCCAUGGCGACGGAGGCUACCUGGACUAACACUGACACUGAGGCACGAAUGCGUGG
Molecule: ribosomal RNA, 746 nt
Filed under: Stenotrophomonas sp. Wr1C11
Lineage: Bacteria; Pseudomonadati; Pseudomonadota; Gammaproteobacteria; Lysobacterales; Lysobacteraceae
Description: bacterial SSU rRNA
Rfam family: Bacterial small subunit ribosomal RNA
Source: RNAcentral